RNAcentral lists this long non-coding RNA (3323 nucleotides) under Homo sapiens (human). RNAcentral's name for it is "HSALNT0406216". Lineage: Eukaryota; Metazoa; Chordata; Mammalia; Primates; Hominidae. The record is from RNAcentral.
ACAGAAACGCCGCUUGGCCUUUGGACUACACCAUCUGUCGCUCGCUCUAACGAGCCGGCGUUGCCGCCAGGGGACGCUCGGGCCGCAGGAGGUCGCUGGGUCGUGAGCUGGCGCCGGGGACGCCGAGCGACUGCGGGGUUUCCCUCAGCGUCCUGCUAUCCGGCUGCCCGCCGCGCUCCUUGGUAGUGUCCGUGGGCGCGCAGGCCUUGAAGAACCUCCUCGUGGCGGGACCCCGAGGUAACUGCUGAGGCAGAUAAUGGCGCCUGGGCUGCGGUGGGGCUUGUCCUGCCGCCUGGCGGCUUUCUGCAGGGCCAGGAUAUACUUACUUUUCUGUAAACCAACUCUUCCUUAGCGCAGGAGAGGUGUCAAAGAGCUGGCGCGUCUCCAGAGCCCCGGGAGGAAGGCUGUAACGGCAGCCCCAUCGUAGACAGGGACAUUCGCAUCCCGAGCCCUGGAUCUCUGAAAACCAGCCCAGAAUUUGGAAGCUGGAAGGAACUUUAGAUCGUCCAUUCUGAGUGUCUCUCUUCGCUGGCGUUUUCCCACUGAGGUUAUGUAAACAUGAAGAGGAGCCUACAAGUGUCAAGGAAAAAACGACAGCUAACCACAGGGCAGGCCAUGGGCAAGAUAUCUCAGUGUUCUCCGCUCUCAUAGGUCAGGUCACGACCCCCAGGAGACCUGGAGGACUGAAUGCUGCUGCCCCCAAGGAGGAGGCUGCCGUCUUAUCCCAGGAGGGAGAGCAGGUGAAGUCCCCAGGGGAGGAAGCACCUAGCCCCAUUCCUGCUGAGCAGGAGGUGGCAGGUACCCCAGACUGGGAGGUAAGGACAGCCCGGGGCUUCGACUGAACGUCUCCAGCGUGGGUCCAACUGAGCAGCCAUGGAGCACUGCAGAGUGGGAGGCAGCAGGGCAGGGAGGCAGUGCUGGAGGCUGGCUCAACCCCAAGACCAGCAGGCCAAGCUGCCAUCCCAGGGGAGCGAGGACGUCUGUGCAGAGCUGAGAGGCAGCAGCCAUGUGUGAACAGACUGGGCCUCAUCCUGGCCCCACCGACUUUGUGUGGACAGAGCCUGUUUCCCUGUCUGUGCAACACAGAACCUGCCUGAUCUCACUGCUGGAUCCCUCUUCUUCCUGCCAGGAAAAUAAAAAGGUUCAAAAGGAAGUUGCUGCGUAUCCAUCUGAGGCCUCUGAGGACAGCAAAGAGCAAAGGCCCUGGGACCGGGUCUACGUGCCCAUGACAGAGCUCUGGCUGGACUGGUUCUGAGCCUCUAACACCCCCAAGACUCAGAACCGUGAAGAAAAUCUUUCCAAUAAAUCCAAGAGUUGCUGCUGCUAUAGGCCAGGCUGCCACCUUUCGGGGCCUCCGUCUUCAGACAAACCCAGCCUGGCUUCAUCCACACUCCCUGUCCCCACAGCUGCAGGAACAGCACUUCCUGCCACCGAGCCGUGUGACCACAGUGGAUUGUCUCUGGAGGGGCCCAAGGGGGCCCUGGCCACCCUUCUGACUGACUCGGUGCCAGGGGACAGACCAACGUCCCUCUCGUGCUGACAGCCGGGCCGCACCCUGGCAUGAGGGCAUUUACAGAAAUGCUGGCGGAACUGCUGCCAGGGAGGCUGUAGGGUCCUCUGGCAAAAGAGGCCUCAGGUGGCUCCUCAGAGUGUCUGUGGUUCUCUGUCCCAGGCUGUUCCCUAAGAAGGUCUGCCCAGGACUCAGGACAGCAGCAUCCCUGAGGGCCCAGAGAGGUGGCCAGUCCUGUGGUGAGGUUGAGAGGUGUCAACGUGCUGGUGGUCCUCGCUCGCUCUCAGCGCCUCCUCGGCCUCAGCUUCUGCUCUGACCACACUUGAGGAGCCCUUCAGCCCAGCGCUGCACUGUGGGAGCCCCUCUCUGGACUGGUGGAGGCUGGAGCCGGCUCCGUCUGCUUGCGGGGAGGUAUGGAGGGAGAGGCGUGUGCGGGAACCUGGGUUGCUCGCGGGCCAGCACCAGUUCUGGGUGGGCAGGGGCUCAGCGGGCCCUGCACUCGGAGCGGCCGGCUGGUGCCUCUGGCCCCAGGCAGUGAGGGGCUUAGCACCUGGGCCAGCAGCUGCAGAGGGGGCACCGGGUCCCCCAGUACUGCUGGCCUGCCGGCGCUCACCACACUUGAAUUGUCGCCAGGCCUCAGUCACCUCCCCGCGGGGCAGGGCUCAGGACUUGCAGCCUGCCAUGCCCAAGCCUCCCUACGGUGGGCUCCCUGCGAGGCCCGAGCCUCCCGGAUGGGUGCCUCCCACUGCUCCACGGCACCUGGUCCCGUCCACUGCCCAAGGGCUGAGGAGUACAGGUGCCCGGUGUGGGACUAGCAGGCAGCUCUGCCUGUGGCCCUGGCAUAGGAUCCACUAGGCGAAGCUGGCUGGGCUCCUGAGUCAGGUGGGGACUUGGAGAACUUUUAUGUCUAGCCAGAGGAUUGUAUAUGCACCAAUCAGCACUCUGUGUCUAGCUCCGGGUUCGUGCAUGCACCAAUUAGCACUCUAUCUAGCUAAUCUGGUGGGGACUUGGGGAACCUUUAUUUCUAGCUAAAAGAUUGUAAAUACACCAAUCAGCACUCUGUGUCUAGCUCAAGGUUUGUAAACACACCAGUCAGCACCCUGUGUCUAACUCAAGGUUUGUAAACGCACCAAUCAGUGCUCUCUGUCUACUCUAUCUAGCUAAUCUAGUGGGGACUGGGACAACCUUUAUGUCUAGCUAAGGGAUUGUAAAUACACCAUUCAGCACUCUGUGUCUAGCUCAAGGUUUGUAAAUAUACCAAUCAGUACUCUGUGUCUAGCUCAGGGAUUGUAAAUGCACCAAUCAGCUCUCUGUAAGUGGACCAAUCCACUGUCUGUAAAAUGGGCCAAUCAGCAGGAUGUGGGUGGGGGUCAGAUAAGGGAAUAAAAGCAGGCUGCCUGAAGUAGCAGCGGCAACCUGGUUGCCAUCAUUCUUUUGCUGUUUGCAGUAAGUCUUGCUGCUGCUGCUCCCUCAUUGGGUCCACACUGCCUUUAUGAGUUGUAACACUGGAAGGACUGCAGUUUCACUCCUGAGGCCAGUGAGACCACAAACCCACCAGGAAGAAUGAACAACUCCGUACGUGCAGCCUUAAGAGCCGUAACACUCACUGUGAAGGUCUGCAGCUUCACUCCUGAAGCCAGCAAGACCACGCACCCACCAGAAGGAAGAAACUCUGAACACGUCUUAACAUCAGAAGGAACAAACUCUGAACACACCAUCUUUAAGAACUGUAACACUCACCGUGAGGGUCCACGGCUUCAUUCUUGAAGUCAGUGAGACCAAGAACCCACCAAUUUUGGACACAAGGUGACAG